Salvia miltiorrhiza (redroot sage) is the source of this 887-nucleotide long non-coding RNA. RefSeq lists it as uncharacterized. The transcript has 3 exons. NCBI's taxonomy places the organism in Eukaryota, Viridiplantae, Streptophyta, Magnoliopsida, Lamiales, Lamiaceae. The record is from RefSeq and is a predicted model, not a curated record.
AAUUCCAUGCUAGGUCACCCCUAAUGAGGAUCACCCUUCUGAUCUUGACACGUGUCCCUGAAUUCGAUGCUCAACCCAGCUCAUGGAGUCAGCGAAACCCGGUUCUGUUUCCCCCAAAACCCGGCUACAGGCGGGUUUUUAAUUGUAUAGGUUAGGACACGUGUUUGUGUGCCAUUUAUUAUUGAAAUGAAGCUUACUGAACAAUCUUGGUGAUCGGACAAAUCAGAAAUUCUCCUUUUCCGGCUUGCUUUGAAAGAUUUGUCGCAUCGACCCGAAGUUUCAUGUUUCAUGUGGUGAAUUUUUACAAGAUCCGUCAUCGGUUUAUAUUGUUCCAACAUUUCAUUGUGUUGAAUGCGAAAGGGGAAAAAUCAAACUUUUCGAUCGUGGAGGCCCGGGAUCGAAGCAAAUUUGGGAGGUUAAGCAUGCAGCUGCAAAUUUCGUGAGGAAGGCAAUAGCAUUUCUUACUGUGGCAGAGAUUGGUUGUAUUGAGGUUCCAAUUAUUGUGUUACCCGAGGAAUAUUAGAUGAUGGAUCAUGUUGGUAUUCCUUCAACCUUGCAUCCCGCUUCACCUAUUCCUAUUCAUAAUUCAAAGAGUUUGCUGACAAAAAGACGUCUGACAUAUGAGGAAGUUGAUGCUGUUAAAAAAGGCAGUGAAAUACAGAAGACGCCAAAGAAUAAUUCAGAACUGGUUUUGGAAGAGAAACAGGUGUUACGUUUGGAUCCCCGCCGUUCCCCUCGUUUGGUUGAACAAGGCAAGAAAAUAGAAGAAAAGAAGGCGAAAGAUGAGGAUGAUUAUGCAGCAAAUGAAGCAUCUAGCACUGCCCUUUGUAAAAAUUGUUUAAAAAUUCUGAAUUACGCAACGGCAGAGGAAAAUGCAAAGAGUAAUA